RNAcentral lists this transfer RNA (119 nucleotides) under Gomphillus americanus. RNAcentral describes it as "tRNA-Pro". It matches the Rfam family "tRNA". Rfam says of the family: Transfer RNA (tRNA) molecules are approximately 80 nucleotides in length. Their secondary structure includes four short double-helical elements and three loops (D, anti-codon, and T loops). Further hydrogen bonds mediate the characteristic L-shaped molecular structure. tRNAs have two regions of fundamental functional importance: the anti-codon, which is responsible for specific mRNA codon recognition, and the 3' end, to which the tRNAs corresponding amino acid is attached (by aminoacyl-tRNA synthetases). tRNAs cope with the degeneracy of the genetic code in two manners: having more than one tRNA (with a specific anti-codon) for a particular amino acid; and 'wobble' base-pairing, i.e. permitting non-standard base-pairing at the 3rd anti-codon position. Lineage: Eukaryota; Fungi; Ascomycota; Lecanoromycetes; Ostropales; Graphidaceae. The record is from RNAcentral.
GGCUCGGUCGUCCAGUGGUAGGAUUCUUGCUUCGGGUAUAAGUUGCCAGCAUCACUCAGUGGUGUUAGAGAUUUCUUCUGAACUGUGAGAGGUCCCGGGUUCAAUCCCCGGUUGAGCCC